UACAGAGGUCUCAAGCGUUGUUCGGAUUCAUUGGGCGUAAAGGGUGUGUAGGUGGCGCGCUAAGUCGGGUGUGAAAUUUCGGAGCUUAACUCCGAAACUGCAUUCGAUACUGGCGUGCUUGAGGACUGGAGAGGAGACUGGAAUUUACGGUGUAGCAGUGAAAUGCGUAGAUAUGCGGAGGAACACCGAUGGCGAAGGCAAU
Molecule: ribosomal RNA, 202 nt
Filed under: uncultured prokaryote
Description: partial 16S ribosomal RNA
Rfam family: Bacterial small subunit ribosomal RNA
Source: RNAcentral